Molecule: ribosomal RNA, 251 nt
Filed under: uncultured prokaryote
Description: partial 16S rRNA
Rfam family: Bacterial small subunit ribosomal RNA
Source: RNAcentral
ACGGAGGAUCCGAGCGUUAUCCGGAUUUACUGGGUUUAAAGGGUGCGUAGGCGGGCCCCUCAGUCAGCGGUGAAAGUCUGGGGCUCAACCGCAGGAAUGCCGUUGAUACUGGGGGCCUUGGAUUCGGUCGAGGCGGGCGGAAUUCGUGGUGUAGCGGUGAAAUGCGUAGAUAUCACGAGGAACGCCGAUGGCGAAGGCAGCUCGCCGGGCCGAUAUCGACGCUGAGGCGCGAAAGCGUGGGGAUCGAACAG